Molecule: long non-coding RNA, 502 nt
Filed under: Monodelphis domestica (gray short-tailed opossum)
Lineage: Eukaryota; Metazoa; Chordata; Mammalia; Didelphimorphia; Didelphidae
Description: lncRNA (ENSMODG00000051242.1)
Source: RNAcentral
AAUAGACUAAAGCAAGGAGGAAGAGCAGAGGAGCUGAACAUCCUUUCCUUCAACUAUAGCUACGCGAUCAGAUGAUUUGAAAUUUGUAGUCCCUUGAAGACCCAUCAUGGACCUGAGUAUUUGAAUUUCACUGUAGCAGAGAUGUGCUGAGCUAAAUGAAAUGAAAUGGACAAUUUUAAAGCCACUAUACACCUUGCCUUAGUUAUUACGCAAAGAAGAAAGAAGAAGGAUUUUUCUAUUGGCAGGAAAUCUCAAACGAUGUCAUAAAGAUUUGGACACAACUGAAAUGAUAGAACAACACUUGGAGGAACCAUCAAAAGACAUAACAUUGAUCUGAAGGAGACCAUCUUAUAUCCUAGCAAGCAAAAUUAAGGACAAUCAAAAAGGUUUUUAAAGCUAUUUUUGGGAAAGGGAACCAAAAAAGGAAUAGAACAUUUACUUCUGCCCUUUGUGCUGGAUAUACAAUUAAAUUCAACAGGAAUAAAAGGAAAAAUCCCUAACA